CAGUCUGCAACUCGACUGCACGAAGCUGGAAUCGCUAGUAAUCGCGGAUCAGAAUGCCGCGGUGAAUACGUUCCCGGGUCUUGUACACACCGCCCGUCACACCAUGGGAGUCAGUAACGCCCGAAGUCAGUGACCUAACCGAAAGGGAGGAGCUGCCGAAGGCGGGACGGAUGACUGGGGUGAAGUCGUAACAAGGUACC
RNAcentral lists this ribosomal RNA (200 nucleotides) under uncultured bacterium. Its description in RNAcentral is "partial 16S ribosomal RNA". It matches the Rfam family "Bacterial small subunit ribosomal RNA", at positions 1301 to 1500 of the family's 1533-position model. The record is from RNAcentral.